CCGCCUCCGCGGGUCCGGAUGCUGGUGAGCAGCAAAGCCCCCCUGCACCAUCUGUCCGCUCCCACUGACACCCCAGCGAAGGACUGAGGAGCAAGGGAAGGUCUGUCGCGUGGUGGGUGGCAGUGCCCCGCUCUCCUCCCACCGCUCCCAGGCUGCUUCCCAGCCUCUUUUACCUCGAUGGCCUUGUAGAAGAUGCUGUUCCCGAUCUGGACCACCUCCAGGUUCUGCUCCUGCUCGUUGCGGGCACAUUUGAUGUAGGUCAUCCAGCUCCGGUGGUCCUCCUGGCUGGCAUCGAUGAAGUACCGCACGGUGCCGUCUUCGUUGAAAACCUGCGAGGGAGAAAGAUGGGUCGGUAGCAUCGCUGCCCGGGGUGGAUUAAGCUCCUCCAUCCCUGCCUGGGGGAAUCGUGCUGCCGGGGGCAGGUGAUGCUUUGGAAUAAAGUCCCUGGCCAGGGGGACUGCAAAGCCAGCACGGCCUCGGCGCGAAGGCCCUGCAGGCAGCUGAGAACCGCUGCCUCUGCACAGGAUGUGGCCGNNNNNNNNNNNNNNNNNNNNNNNNNNNNNNNNNNNNNNNNNNNNNNNNNNCAGAGGCUGGCCGGCAGCUCAGCCCCUUCGGCAUCCUGCAGCCGCCUCGGGAAGAAGAGGGGCCGGCAUCCCUCGAUGGGUGGAGGAGGAAGGUGCAUGGCAGACCCGGCCCUCGGGGAAGAUGAGGCACAAGGAAGAUCCACAUGCUCCGGCGAAAUGACCCGGCCCGUGAAAGGUCCCAUCUCGGUCCCAGCCUUGAUCCAGGUCUUGGAGAAGAUGCCCAGCCCUUCCCCGGGGAUGGAGCUUUGCGCAAUGAUCACUUCCGACGGCAGCACCAGGCUGGACAAUUUCUGCACCUCUGUGCGCAUUAGGGAGAGGGGUUGGAAAAGGGACCCACCAGCUUCCUUCCCCCCCUUACACCCCAUCCUGUCCCUCACCAACCCCUCCGGGACAUCAGGGUCCCCCCAGGCACCCCCAGCCUUCCCCGGCUCAGGGCUGGG
Molecule: long non-coding RNA, 1024 nt
Filed under: Struthio camelus australis
Lineage: Eukaryota; Metazoa; Chordata; Aves; Struthioniformes; Struthionidae
Description: lncRNA (ENSSCUG00000002683.1)
Source: RNAcentral